AACGGUAGGAGGGGAGGAAGCGGUGUAGCAAAGUCCAGGAGCCUACGAACAGAAACCUGAUAUAAGGCCAAACGGCGGGUAAGGUUGCAAACCAAACCGAAGCCCAAAGGGUAAACGUAAAGCCGAGACGGUAAAUCAGGAGGUUGUCGGACGAAAGAUGU
Molecule: non-coding RNA, 161 nt
Filed under: bovine gut metagenome
Source: RNAcentral